CUGGUGGCGUGCUUUAUUUAUAAUAGCGAUUGCUAACAGUCUCAAUGACAUAAACAACUGUACGAGAAGUUAAGUUUAAUAUAUAGUUUUGCUGUUAUAUAUUCUUAUAAUUAACUUUCAACGGGUUUUUUAAACGUAUUGUGGAAGUAUGUACAAGAAAUAAACAAAAACUAUAUAAAUAAUUUUGGGUCUGUCAAGGCAGUUGUUAUCCAUAUUCGUUAGAUAUGUUUGAGAUUUUUAUUUGGCCAUUUGAUAAGCAUUUUCCUUUUUGAUUUUUCCUUGGAUUUUUUUUUUUUUUGUUCGUUCCCUUUUUUUAACAUAUAGAUCCGUGUUCUAUAUUUCCCGCGCAUUCUAUACAAAUUAGAAAUAUACUGUUUAAGGGUCACGUUACGAUCGCACUCUGACACCAUUAGUAAUGCAAAAGUGUUUCUGUCUUUAAUAUUCAAAUAACGUGACAUUCGUUUUAUUUGGAUAUAAUACUCAAAUCAACAAAAAAUAUUUCGAACAAUACAAAGUUCAGAUCAGCUUUUUGACAAAU
This 538-nucleotide long non-coding RNA is filed under the name Mytilus galloprovincialis (Mediterranean mussel). The record is from RNAcentral. Lineage: Eukaryota; Metazoa; Mollusca; Bivalvia; Mytilida; Mytilidae.